This is a long non-coding RNA of Agrilus planipennis (emerald ash borer), 757 nucleotides long. RefSeq lists it as uncharacterized. The transcript is spliced from 2 exons. The record is from RefSeq and is a predicted model, not a curated record. Lineage: Eukaryota; Metazoa; Arthropoda; Insecta; Coleoptera; Buprestidae.
AAAUGUAUUUGUUUUUCUGAGAAUUAAAGAAAGGAUGGUCAAAAAUUCGUUUGAGCGACUCUUAAAAAUCAUGCAUAUAUAUGAUUGUAAACUGGACAGAGGUAAUCCCCAUACCAAGGCAAUAACGACCAUAAACAAAAUUACCUUUUUAUAAAACCGCAACCUUGGUGUCUAUAUUAUUUACUCAUCGGAGAGAAUUACACAGUUGUUUACAUUUUGUACACAGUGCAUAUUUAUCAUAUCGUUAAAAAACAAGAGUGCAUAUACAUAUAAAUGUUGUAUAAAUAGGAAUUUUAAUCUUGUACAAGAGUACAAGCCAUACAAACUUCAUAUUAUCAGCAUAAAACAGUAAAGUAUUAACAAUUAUGUCUCAAAGUACAUUUUUAACCGUACUAAUUUUCGUUGCAGUGCAUAAUGCUUUAGCUCUGAAGAAAGUAUUACCACUUGUUUGUGACAAACCUUUUGAAGAAUAUCAGUGCGGAAGUGCAUGUCAAACCACAUGUGAAACCCUUGGUGAACCUUGUCGAAUUAUAAACAUCAGAUGCAAUAGUGGUUGUUACUGCAUCGAUGGUUAUGCGAGGAAUAUUACGGGAGUUUGUAUUCCUCAAACACAAUGUUAACAACAAAUGUUAAUUAACAUAAGGCAGCAACCAAUUAAUUGCUGAUUCCAUCGUACAAUGAACUGACGAUGAGUUUAAGAUUAGUUUGUUGUCAAAUCAAGGGUAAAAAUGUAGAAUAUAUAUAUACUUAAAAACAA